ACGAACGCUGGCGGCGUGCUUCACACAUGCAAGUCGAACGGAAAGGCCCUGCUUUUGUGGGGUGCUCGAGUGGCGAACGGGUGAGUAACACGUGAGUAACCUGCCCUUGACUUUGGGAUAACUUCAGGAAACUGGGGCUAAUACCGGAUAGGAGCUCCUGCUGCAUGGUGGGGGUUGGAAAGUUUCGGCGGUUGGGGAUGGACUCGCGGCUUAUCAGCUUGUUGGUGGGGUAGUGGCUUACCAAGGCUUUGACGGGUAGCCGGCCUGAGAGGGUGACCGGCCACAUUGGGACUGAGAUACGGCCCAGACUCCUACGGGAGGCAGCAGUGGGGAAUAUUGCACAAUGGGCGGAAGCCUGAUGCAGCAACGCCGCGUGCGGGAUGACGGCCUUCGGGUUGUAAGCCGCUUUCGCCUGUGACGAAGCGUGAGUGACGGUAAUGGGUAAAGAAGCACCGGCUAACUACGUG
Molecule: ribosomal RNA, 467 nt
Filed under: uncultured bacterium
Lineage: Bacteria
Description: partial 16S ribosomal RNA
Rfam family: Bacterial small subunit ribosomal RNA
Source: RNAcentral